Long non-coding RNA from Alligator mississippiensis (American alligator), 2328 nucleotides. RefSeq lists it as uncharacterized. NCBI's taxonomy places the organism in Eukaryota, Metazoa, Chordata, Crocodylia, Alligatoridae. The record is from RefSeq and is a predicted model, not a curated record. The transcript is spliced from 4 exons.
UCUGAAAAGUGGAGUACCUCUUAGGAGAUACUGAGAGCCCUCAGUACCCUGUAGAAGGCCCUUGCAGGAAUCUGGCUUCAGAGAGGUGCAGUCCUAUUGAAAUCAGUAUGGCUAUUUACAAGGAGGAAGGUGCUACUUUCCUGAUUAUUUGCAUCUGGGCAAAAUGCCAUGCACAGGAUCCAGGAGAAGUGCUGAGUGACAGCGAAGGUUUCUGCCUUUGUCUCCUCUAACACCAACUCCACGUAAAACACCAGAACAGUUUGCCCUCCAGCAACCCAAGAAAAUAUAUCUUGUAUGGUAUGCAAGGGAGUCAAACUCACCUAGGCUUGCGGGGGCCAACCAGCAUGCCACAUCCAGCACGAGUCCCGGAGCAGGCACCGCAUGCACGUGUCCCAGACUGGCAGCUCUGAAACCAUGCUGCACAUGAUGCCCAUUCCAGCAUGCAUCUGCUCCAUGCUGUAUCCAAAGUGGGUGCUGUGUGUGGUGUGUGCCCUGGAGUGGCCGAUCCAGGACCAGGACCAGCACCAGACCACACUUGGCUCUUAAUCUGGGCCCAUGCUGUAUGCAGCACCUGUUGUGGUUGCUCCAAGACUCACACUGGAGCAGUGCUGCAUUCGGCGGGAUCCUGGAGCAGCAGGAGUGGGCAUCUAGUGCACCCUGCAUGCUGCCUGGAGGCUGGAUAAUAUAGCUUCAUAGGCCAAAUCCAGCCUCUGGGACACAUCUUUGACACUCCUGCAUUACCUUAUGUCUGUGAUGUGACUAAGCAAGUCAGUGUGUUGGUAUAUUCAGGAGUGUAUAAGGAGUGGCACUGUAUGGGCAUCUUCCCGUGAGGUGCUAUGUAUGCUCAGUUCCUGUAGGCUUGAGGAGUCUCUGCAGUUUGAGGGGUUGGGCCACUGCGUUCCUUAUCAUUCCUUUACUUCUGAAGACUUUAAUGAUCUUCUAAAAUUGAAUUAAAUACUAUAAUCUACUAUUCAUAAAAAGAGUAUUAACCUUGUCUUGUGACCUAAAGUGUUAUGUAUAAUCCUUGCAAAUACUUACACAUUAAAAUAUACCAUGGCUUUCUAUUUGGCUUAAUCUUACACUACCAAGGUUUGCCAGCACAGCUGGGAAGAUCACACCCUGUUGCCAACCGAACUGUGCCAGUAAAACUCUGGUUUGGCUGCAGCUACAUUGACAGAAUAAUAUUUUUUGUCAGCUUAGCUUGGGUUGUUUGUGGAGGUGGCAUAGCCACCCAGCAGAAAACCCUCCUGUCUUGGCAUACACUCUAGCAGCAGAGACUCUGUCAUGUGAUAAACUUUUAGUUACCUGAAUUGAACCCGGUUUACAGGCUCAGCAUACAGCUUUAAAUGCUGAUCAUGUUAUCUUACCAUUUAAGCAAAGUGUUAGCAAAUUAGCUUACUGUGGGAACGGGAUUUUUUUUCCUCUUUUUUUUGUCUUCUAUGAAAACGUACUGAAAAUACUGAGCAGCACACAAUGUUAAAGUGAUGCAAAUGAGUUCAUUUUCCUCCUGACGUUAGAACAGCACUAGUUUCAGUACUCGAUUCUACUUUCAGUCGGAAAAAAAAAAAGAAUUAAUGAGAAAGUUGGGUUAAUUGAAAUAUCAUGAGGUUAUGACACCUACAGAGAUCUGUGGGUGAUCUAAAAAAAAUGUUCAUCUGUCAUGCUUUCCCCCCUCCUCAUUUGUGUGUAAUGGUAUCAGCUGACAGGGAUAGAGAUAAAAUGUUAUCACAUAUGGUGUCAGUUCCACUAAGGCCUUUUUACAUUUAAAAUAUUAAUACAAACAGAAGCUAGUUGGACUAAUUUCCAAAUUUUUACACAAUUUACCUCUCCAGUUCAGAGCAGUUACCUUGUAACUGUGUGUGAGGGAAGGGUUCUUUAUUGUAUUUAGAGCAAGAACAAUCUGAUCUUCCUUGAUAGUGUGCAGAUAUAGCUUCCUGGCCUUAGUGUUUUUUACAUACACUGGGCUCUACCUGCCUGUUCAGGGAAUCUACCCUACCCUCUUCUGCUUUGCAUGAAUGAUGAUGAUUUACUAGCUUAUAGCAUAUCUACUAAAACAUCUAGUUACGCUUAUUUGCUCAAGCAGCAAUCCUCUGUGUGUCAUUUGCUUAAGGAAAUCUUUCAAUGAUUGCAAUAUUUUAUGGAUAUUUUGUAGCUACCUACUCCUCUGCUCCUGGUCUUGUAAACAAUACUGUGAGUUGUUGGUAAUAUACUAUGUUCGGCUUCCUGUGAUCAGGGACCUGAUGAAGAAUGCCUUGCUUUCAAAAGCUUAUCUAACUUUAUCCCAAUUACAUAGUUGGUCCAAUAAAAGAUAUUGUAAGAAAUGCUUGC